CUAUAUUAACUUAUGUUAUUUUUAUUUCUGCAUUCUAGAUCUGCAAAAAGUGUUGAGUUAUACUGAGCUGAUUAAAAUGAAGAUCGCAGUUCUCCUUCUUCUGGUGUGUCUUGCAAAUCUCUGUGUUGUAUCGGUCAGUUGUUGUAAAAGGACUGGUGAAGACUGUGUAAGUAAGAAGUGGUGCUGUGAAGAUAAUGAUUGUGUGGUUAAUAGAAGAAAAGAUAAAGGAGAUGGUGGAGAAAAAAUAUGUUGGCCUGCAAAGUAAAAAGAAAAUGAAUGAAAGAAUCUUUAAGAAAAAAUAAACAUCUGAUUCUGGCAUUGA
Physella acuta is the source of this 322-nucleotide long non-coding RNA. RefSeq lists it as uncharacterized. Lineage: Eukaryota; Metazoa; Mollusca; Gastropoda; Physidae. The record is from RefSeq and is a predicted model, not a curated record.